Molecule: long non-coding RNA, 6180 nt
Organism: Carassius gibelio (silver crucian carp)
Lineage: Eukaryota; Metazoa; Chordata; Actinopteri; Cypriniformes; Cyprinidae
Exons: 3
Source: RefSeq, a predicted model, not a curated record
UUACUCCACACCGCGCGCACUGAUACCAGAAACACUGCUCCACCUUAAUUAAUAAAGUACUUCAGUGUAUUUCAUUGUUAUGUUCAUAACGAAGUCUAUAUUAAAAUAAUUUAAAAAAAAAUAACAGGAGAGUUUUAAAGUGGCUUAGGCUAUUGUGCAAACUUUAUUUAUCUUUACCACACGCCAAACUAUUAACAUUGUCAGCAUUAAAAGUUAUAAUUACUGCAUUCUGGUCUGAAAAUUUUGUUUGUGAUGAAAAUACCAGUACACUUUCGUCAAUAUUUUAUCUACAGAUCGAUGCAUUUCUUACAGAUUUCUGCUUAUUCAAAAUCAGAGACAGAUGUAGAAGCACUGUAAGAUUACUUUUUUAAAUGCAUUACUGGGAAAGCGACUGCGUAUGAAUGUGCUGAAUCUGUUUAAAUAAUGCUAUAACCCGACAAUAUUGAUAGUAACAUGAUAGUCAAAUGUGUGGGUUACAUGUAAAUUAAUAUGGAGUUAAAGGGGGGGUGAAAUGCUCGUUUUCACUCAAUAUCCUGUUAAUCUUGAGUACCUAUAGAGUGGUACUGCAUCCUUCAUAACUCCAAAAAGUCUUUAGUUUUAUUAUAUUCAUAAGAGAAAGACAGUCUGUACCGAUUUUUCCCGGAAAAACACGACUGGCUGGAUGCGUGACGUUUGGGCGGAGCUAAAGAAUCACGAGCGCCAGUAGGCUUUUGCGUUGAGAGCAUGUGGAAGCUGUGACAUUACCGUGAGGGAAAAACCAUCAUCCAAAACAAACCAUGGCUUACAGUCAGAUUCAGCCAUUUAUUUAUGAUCCAGAAUCAGAUCCAGAGGCUGAAACUGAACAAGAGCAGCAGCAGCAUGGACUCGCUCCGAGCGGGGCUCGAACCCGGGUCUCCGGCAUGGGAGGGGACGCACUAACAAGGAGGCAGAGAUAUUUUAAGCAGUUUUACUCACCGCCUGCGGUUCCAACACACGAUCGUGACCCUUUUUCGUUGGGAUUGCAUCAUCCUUAAGAAAUAAACGAUACGCAAAUCCACAUAAUAAAAAAUAAAAUAAAAUAAUAAAAAAACAAAUAAAUAGGUAAGGAAUGACAAUAUACAAAUUGACAAUUGUAGGCAGGUAUUUUACAAAAAGCAGUUAUGUAUGUACAGGUUUGUUAUGUGCAAAAAUUUAAGUGUACACUAAGUAUGUGUGUUAGAUAAAUAAAUGUAUGUGUAUAUAAAUAUAAAGUGUAGUGUGUUCCACAGUUAUUAUCAAUUGUUCAUUAGAUGGAUUGCCUGAGGGAAGAAACUGUUCCUGUGUCUGGACGUUCUGGUGCUCAGUGCUCUGUAGCGUCGACCAGAUGACAACAUUUCAAAGAGGGAGUGUGCUGGUUGUGAGGUGUCCAGAGUGAUUUUGCCAGACCUAUUGUUCACUCUGGAUGAGUACAGUUCUUGAAUAGAAGGGAGGGUUGUACCGAUGAUUCUCUCAGCAGUCCUGACUACCCUCUGUUUUAACCAGAGGUCAAAAGCGCCCCCCCCCUCCCCCUUAGGAAUUUCAGUCUGGUUCUGCUAGGUGGGGGAAGUCAAUCAAAGGAUCUUGUGUAGUACUGGUUUUACAUGUGAUGUCCGGCAUUGCAUCUCAAUUACUUGCCCCAAAUUUGACAAUCUCUUCUCCGAAUUGAAAUUGUCAAUAUUUGUUCUAAUGGUGUUAAUGUCGAAAUCUGUUCUGUGAAAGAGUUGCUUGGUUGGUUAACUUGUUACUGACUUGUGGCACUAGGGCUGAUUUGUGACCUCCUGUUGCCUUCCUGAGGAAUUUGGCUCAUGUUUCAACCACAGUCCUGAUCGACUCUUUAAUUUGUCUGGUUCGGGUCAGAUACGCUACAAGAGUGAUAUGCAUCCUUUAUUGUGGUGUAACAGUGAUCCAAUAUAUUACUGUCUCUAUUGGGACAUGUAACUUGCUGUCUGUAUUUUGGCAGUUCACAGGAGAGAUUGGCCUUAUUGAAGUCCCUGAGAAUGAUUAAAACAGAGUCCGGAUGUUGUUGUUCUGUCUCUGUGAUCUGAUCAAUGAGUUUCUGUAAAGCCAGGCUUAUGUGCACUUGCGGAGGAAUGUAAACACUCACCAGAAUGAACGAGUGAAGCUCCCGUGGCAAAUAGAAUGGUUUGCAGUUCACAAACAGCAUUUCUAGAUCAGGACAGCACAUCUUCUUUAACACAAUUACAUCUGUACACCAGCGUUCAUUGAUGUAAAAGCAUGUCCACGAUCCACUCUAAACAGCUGAAAGCUCGGCAGAUGGAGCAUGCUGUUCGGUAUGGUGUCAUUCAGCCAGGAUUAUGUGAAACACAGAGCAGCAGAGUGUGAGAAAUCUUUAUUUGUCCGAGAGAGCAGAAGGAGUUUGUCCAUUUCGUUGGGUAGAUAGCAGAGAUUUGCCAGAUGGAUGCUAGGCAGCAGUGUUCGAAAUCCGUGCUUCCUGAGUCUGAAGAGCUCCAGAGGUGAGGUAGAUAGUUACCAAUAUAAAUAUCUGCCAGUAUUUGACAGGUGCACAACAGAAUACACUUUUAUGUAUUGUGCUUUCAACUUUAUACUUAUCUAUAAAGUAGAAAAAGACAUUGCUUUGGGCCGGACAGAUCAUCAGCAACAGAUGAGGGGAAAUUGAUUUAUAUAAUUUCUUGGCAUAGCUUAGGGAAAAGAUGAAGUGUGUAGGUGCUGAUUAGCCUGACUAACCUUAAAUUAAAAGUAUUUUUAUGCGAUUUUUUAUUGUAGUUUUAUUUUAAUGUAUGGAGACAUAAUACCAACCCAAAAUAUACAGAAAAACAAACAAACAAACAAACAACAACAACAACAACAACAACAAAAAAACAGCUUAUAUAAAGGUUAGAAAUUGAUUCAUAUUUCAGUGAGUAAAAUAAGUAUUUAAUCCCCAAGCAAAACAUGAGUUGGUGCAGAAACACUUGUUGGCAAGCACAGAUGUAACACAUUUCUUCUAGUUGGUCACCAGGUUUGCACAAAUCCCAGGAUGGAUUUUGGUCCACUCCUCUCUACAGAUAUUCUCUAAAUCCUUAAGAUUAUUUAGCUGUCAUUUGGCAACUCGAAGUUUCAGCUCCCUCCACAGAUUUUCUAUAGGAUUGAGGUCUGAAGACUAGGCUUGUCAUGAUCUCAGUGGGGGCUGAGGCUUUUUCUGUCCUGGAAUACAUGAUUUGGGUUUUGCUGGCUCGCCAGGUGUUUCACUAUUCCCACUAUGUUUUCUCCGACCCUCUUGUUAUCCCUGUUAACGUUUUCUCCCUCACCUGCACCCUGUCUUACUCUGAUUAUCUUCCCUUUAUCAUACCCUUGUGUUUGCUAUCUUGUGUCAGUCCGUAAGCGUUGCUAGAGUAAGCUUCUUGUUGCUUGUCAGUGUUUGCCUGACUCCGUUUUUGUAUCUUUCCUCUAUCUAGUCGACCUGCUGUUCCUGCUUUUUGUUUUUUCUCCCCCCUGCUUUGCCUCUCAUACUCAGUAGUCCACAUCAACCAGGCGGCUGUCUCGACUCACCUGUGCAUUGCCUUCGGACGCUUUGGCUUUCCAGCGCUGAUCUGCCACCUGUUCCUCGCUGCUGUGCGGCUAGUCCCCGUAGGGAUCUUCGAGCUGGCUGUUCAUGCAGAGUGCUGACUGUCUCGUGCUCCAACGGAUUAAGUCCUCUGAGUUUCUCAAUAAAACGUCUCAUUCAUUCUACCGCAGUUGGAUCCUGUUCCUUUCCCUGACAAGGCUACUCCAUGACCUUAAUGUGCUUUUUCUUGAGCCACUCCUUUGUUGCCUUGGCAGUAUGUUUUGAGGCAUUCUCAUGCAGGAAGACCCAUCUUCAGUGUUCUGGCUGAGGGAAGAUUGUACAGUACAUGGCCCUGUCCAUUUGCCCCUCAAUAUUGUGAAGUUAUCCUGUACCUUUAGCAGACAAAGCUCAAAUUAGAUCUCAUCUAACCACAGCACUUCAUCCAAAGCCAUCUUUGUACAUGCGCCUUCUUGAUCAGGGGGACCUUGCCGGCACUGCAGGAUUUCAGUCCAUUGUGACGUAGUGCGUUACCAAUAGGGCUGUGCCGAUCACGAUCGGCCGAUCGUUAUGUGCAUCUCGUCAGUAAAGCAGAAGCAAUGAAAAAUAAAUUACUUUGCCCUAUUUUUUUUAUUAUUAUUAUUUUUCUGGAUUUUUUGGUUAGUAUUCUGUCUCUAUCUGUUAAUAAACCUACCAUAACACUUACAGACCCUUCAUUUCUUUGCAAGUGAGCAAACUUAAAAAAAAAUUCCCACUGUAUUAAGCUGAUUACUAUCAUCAUUAGAAUCUCAUUCUCAGUGAUAUUUAACCUCAUUAAGUCAAUGCAGUGUGGAGGUUUAAAUGGUGCAUAGAAAUUUGGGCAUAACAGAACAGUCAUAUUUAUUUCAUUUUAUUUUUUAAUGUUUUAAAUAAUGUUGCUUCCUCUAGGGGUAAAAUUAAACAUUUGCCAUGGAUUAAUGAAUCCCUACAGGCACAGCCUGACAACAUGCUCAACAAGCUGAGAGAAGGUGGAAAAAACAUAAACUGCAUGUCCAUUAUAAGAUUUUCAGAGAAUCGUUACUGACAUUUCAGUAGGCCUCUAGACACAAGUAUUGCUCUGAUGUUAUCAAUCAACAUGAAUGAGCCUAAAAUUUUAUUCAAGGUCAUAAAUUGUUAUUAAUCCUAGGUAAACCAAGUACCAGAACCUUCUGUCCUGAAUUUUGAUUUCUUUUUUUUUUUUUCUUUUUUUUAUGAUAAAAUUGUUGGUUUACAUUCUAAAAUACAGAGGUUGCAGGUGGUUCCAUCUUUUGACCUGGCUGUGCCUUCUAGCACAGAAUGGAGUGAAUUCCAUUAUUUUACCCUUCCAGUUUUGGCGGAUAUUGUUGUAAAUCUUAAGACAUCCAAAGGUGAUGUCAUGUCACCUCAUCUUUUUCAGCAGAUUUUUGCUAGUGUAGGGACCACGGUGAUGAACCUCAUUAACAAAUGCCUUAUCCAGGGCACCUGCCCAGCUGAUUUUUAAGUAGUUAUGCGCCGAUCAUGGUUUUUUAAACAACAAACAAGAAAAAAGGAAAGUAUAUAUAAACAAGAUGUUUAUUUGGUAUUUAACCCUCUGGAGUUAAGGUGUAAAUCACACUAAUAUUCAUGGUCAAUAACGCCUACUUGCAUAUGCCCUUUAGAAAUAAAAAAUUGUCUUAGAAAAUUUAAAUCAAUCUAUUCAAUCAAUCUAUUCAUUCAUUCAUUCAAACUUUUAUUUAACCAAGAUAAAAACUCCUUGAGAUUAAAAAUCUCUUUUACAAGAGUGUCCUGGCAAGUGGCAGCAACGUAGUUUCAAAUAAAUACAUAGACAAUAACAAGUAAGUACAUAGACACACUUUCACUCAUAAUAUUCAAACAACAAUGGCAUCAUAAAAAAAAAAAAAAAAAAAAAAAAAACCUGGGUCCUAAAUCUAUUUAAAAACAAUGACAGACAGACUGGCUUUCUGCAAGGUCCUCUGAAAAGCAUAUAUAACAUGUCACCAUAGUGCAAAACAGACAAGAAUGUUGCAUUUACAAGUUGUUGUUUUUUUGCUUCAAAAGAUAAACAAGACUUGAUUCUAAAGAAGAAACCCAACCUCAACUUCAGUUUUUUAACCAAAUCUUGGGCAUGCAAUGUUAAAGUCAGUGACUGAUCAAUGGUAAUGCCCAAGUAUUUGUAAUUUGACACUUCUUCGAUUACUGUACCUGAAAGUGUACAAAUAGUUGGGACAUUGUUUUUUGUUGAUUUUCCCCGAGUGAAAGUCAUGACUUUUUAGAGUUUAGAAAGUAUUUAGAAAGUAGAGUUUAUUUAUAUUAUUGCAGAGGUUGUUUAUAUAAAUGCUAAAAAGAAGUGGCUCAAGGAUUGAGCCUUGAGGCACCUCUUUUAAAAUAUUUAGGAAGGCAUAAGUGAGGCCAUCUACUUGCACACAUUGUGUUCUCCCUGAUAGGUAACUGUUGAACCAUCCCACUGCUUGUUCUGAUAGUCCAAUAGAGAUCUUUCAGGGCCUUUCUUACUUCUGGUACGGUUACUGUCUUGAAAUGAAAUGGUUGAACUGAAAGUGACUGAUCAACUGGACAUGCAGUGGGAGAACCUGAAACUGGAUUACGUCGCGUUUCAUGAAGGGAACCAGCAGCAAUGAAAUGACUUUGCUCCAAUCCAGGAGAGGGAUCAUAUAACGCAGAUAAUG